CUAAGAUCUCCUGCAUACUGGUGAUCGUCUGCAACCUUGGGAACUCAUGGCCAGGUGUGCUGCUCAGAUGCUUAUGCCUGAGGAUAGGACAUGAACCUGCAAACACAUGUGAGUAAUCUUGGACACUGAACAGACUAAACAAUUUAUCUCUAGUUUCACAUUUGCUUCUCAUUUGUUAUGCACCAGCACAACGAUGCAAGGCUUCAGUUGAGAAUAAUGUUUAGUUUAUGCAGACUUCAGUCUUUCAUGAACAUACUCUUGAAAACAGUCUAUGGGAGUGGUGCUGCAUCCUAUAUGGUCGGUGACUUAAUGAAGGCUUCUAAGCCAAAAGGAUGUACUUUUAUUUGAGACACUUCUUACCUGACAGUGAAUCCGGAUACAGUCAUAGUAAUAUCGCCACUCAUCAGGACAAAAAUCAACUGUAACUGCAAAUGACAAGCCAGGGACAAGCCGAUGCUAUAAAAUGACACAGGAUAUAAACCAGGAGGCACUUAAAUACUCAAACUCCACUAAAAUGAAGUCUUCUGCUACCAGUGAACAGGACACUCAAAGCACUGUGAUUACUAUAAGGAGCACAAGAGGAUAAACCUACAAUUCACCACGAGGUACAGCAGGUGUGUAUAUAAGUGAUGGU
Pelodiscus sinensis (Chinese soft-shelled turtle) is the source of this 634-nucleotide long non-coding RNA. RefSeq lists it as uncharacterized. The record is from RefSeq and is a predicted model, not a curated record. Lineage: Eukaryota; Metazoa; Chordata; Testudines; Trionychidae.